This 232-nucleotide ribosomal RNA is filed under the name uncultured bacterium. Its description in RNAcentral is "partial 16S ribosomal RNA". It matches the Rfam family "Bacterial small subunit ribosomal RNA", at positions 99 to 334 of the family's 1533-position model. The record is from RNAcentral.
CGGACGGGUGAGUAAUGUCUGGGAAACUGCCUGAUGAAGGGGGAUAACUACUGGAAACGGUAGCUAAUACCGCAUAACGUCGCAAGACCAAAGAGGGGGACCUUCGGGCCUCUUGCCAUCGGAUGUGCCCAGAUGGGAUUAGCUAGUAGGUGGGGUAACGGCUCACCUAGGCGACGAUCCCUAGCUGGUCUGAGAGGAUGACCAGCCACACUGGAACUGAGACACGGUCCAG